GCUUACCCAGUCCACAACACUGUGCUCCUCCAUGUGCCUCUCCCCUUUCCCAGCCCCCAGGCCUUUCUCCAGACACCGGACCUUGCGCUCUCUUCCUGGUCCUAAGGAUGGGAGAAGGGCCCACACCCACCUGGGGCCUUUGCCUGCCAGAACUGUGCUCAGUUCUGAAUGGAUCUUUAAUAACAAAAAUGCAGCCAGAAGAUGAAAUUUAAGUAAUAAAACUUAAGGAACACCUUGGAUAUUCACAUUUCCAUGUAAAACUGAGCACAGUGGCCCCAUGUGAAGAAUAUCAGUUCCUUUUAGAGUUGAAAAAACAACAUUAGAAGAAGAACACAACUGUUUUCUUAUUAAUCUAACACGCUUCCAAAUAGAGAUGAGUAACAUUAUCACCCAAAGGCGUGAUCCCAGCGUUUCAUACCAACACGUAUUUCUGCCUGGAAACUGAAGUCUCCUUCAAGACCACUGUGUGUGCGUAUUAACAAAGAAUCAUUUUCCACAACUCUUCAAACAGCAGUAUUUAAUCAUUGUCACAUCAAAAGCACUUCGUAGCUCACCAGCAUUUUUUGUUUUUCUUUGAAAUAUAAACCCAGACAUUUUUUAAAGCAGCAGCUCACAUCCACAGGUCUCAUUCAUAAGUGAUCCCCUUUAAAAAGGGAAAAAUCCACGGACUGUGUAAAAUACUUUCUGUUAUAAUGAAAUGCAGCAAGCAGAAAAACUUGCGUUGCUUUGAACUCCCUUAUCUCAUCACAAUAAACUUGCAAAGCUGAGCAUUUUCACCAAAUCUUAUUCAAUCUCCAUUUACAGAGACGCUGAACUUUUCACUUGGAUUUAUCAAGUGACAAGCUAUCAUCUCAAGGUAUCAUCAACAGGGGGGAAAAAUCAAUGUGAUUUGCUAUCAGAAAACUCCUUGCCAACUUCGUACUUGCAUUCACAGAAAGUAGAACACUUCUGAGACGUCCCUUCCACAUCUGAGAUACAACUCGGGAAUUAGAACUUUAUUUACCAUGGAUACAAUAGUUUAUUUUCUUCCUAUGAUGCAACUAGGAAGCUAGAACUGUUGCAUGGAUACUCACUGCAAAUAUAACACCACAAACCCAAACAGAAUUCUUAUUCUUUAUCCUUAUUACCUCCUCUUCUACUCGCUGCUAUCGACCUCACAAACCUUUACUGCUGGAAAGUUGUACUGGGACUAUCACUCUUUGAAUAAAAAAGUGAUGUAAUUAUUUAGAAAUGUUAAAUAAGAGCAUUUCAGUGAUAUUUUAUUAGUGCUUCUAUUUAAGAACACUGAGCAACGUAUUGGGACUCUUUGAAAUAUUCUCAAGCUCCAUCAUCAGAUCUUUCAAUCUUGGAUACCACAGUUACAAAACAAGCAUGUGCUGCAGUAGAAGAAAUGAUCCCGAUAGUGAGGUUCAGUAUUGCCAGCCGAGUUCUGUAAGGGAUUGCUGACAAGGUAUGAGAUGCUCCACUGCUAGUAAAGAACACACAAAACCACUAACAGGAAACCAAAAGAAGUUAUUUUGAAAGAAUGGAAACAGAAACUGGAAGAAACAAAGCAAGCACCAGGCUCCACAAAAUUAGGAAGAGAAAGGCUCACUGCAAAGCAGGGCAUAAAGUAUCUCACGCUACAUAACUCAAUGGCAGAAAGCUUACAGCAUAAUGCAGCAAACAGUACCACAUAAACAGCAAAUGAAACAAUGUCACACAAUGGAGAACCUUGUGCAGGAAAUAAUACAACUUUUUAUUCAUGUUU
This is a long non-coding RNA of Gallus gallus (chicken), 1750 nucleotides long. RefSeq lists it as uncharacterized. Lineage: Eukaryota; Metazoa; Chordata; Aves; Galliformes; Phasianidae. The transcript has 2 exons. The record is from RefSeq and is a predicted model, not a curated record.